This 478-nucleotide ribosomal RNA is filed under the name uncultured bacterium. Its description in RNAcentral is "partial 16S ribosomal RNA". It matches the Rfam family "Bacterial small subunit ribosomal RNA", at positions 28 to 523 of the family's 1533-position model. The record is from RNAcentral.
GACGAACGCUGGCGCCGUGCUUAACACAUGCAAGUCGAACGGUAAGGCCCUUCGGGGUACACGAGUGGCGAACGGGUGAGUAACACGUGGGUGAUCUGCCCUGCACUUCGGGAUAAGCCUGGGAAACUGGGUCUAAUACCGGAUAGGACCACUGCCUGCAUGGGUGGUGGUGGAAAGCCUUUGCGGUGUGGGAUGGGCCCGCGGCCUAUCAGCUUGUUGGUGGGGUGAUGGCCUACCAAGGAGACGACGGGUAGCCGGCCUGAGAGGGUGACCGGCCACACUGGGACUGAGAUACGGCCCAGACUCCUACGGGAGGCAGCAGUGGGGAAUAUUGCACAAUGGGCGCAAGCCUGAUGCAGCGACGCCGCGUGAGGGAUGACGGCCUUCGGGUUGUAAACCUCUUUCAGCACCGACGAAGCGCAAGUGACGGUAGGUGCAGAAGAAGGACCGGCCAACUACGUGCCAGCAGCCGCCGUAA